RNAcentral lists this ribosomal RNA (407 nucleotides) under uncultured Pyramidobacter sp. RNAcentral describes it as "bacterial SSU rRNA". It matches the Rfam family "Bacterial small subunit ribosomal RNA", at positions 354 to 776 of the family's 1533-position model. The record is from RNAcentral. Lineage: Bacteria; Thermotogati; Synergistota; Synergistia; Synergistales; Dethiosulfovibrionaceae.
GUGGGGAAUAUUGGGCAAUGGGCGCAAGCCUGACCCAGCGACGCCGCGUGAGGGAAGACAGCCUUCGGGUUGUAAACCUCUGUUGCAGGGGAAGAAGGAAGUGACGGUACCCUGCGAGGAAGCUCCGGCUAACUACGUGCCAGCAGCCGCGGUAAUACGUAGGGAGCGAGCGUUGUCCGGAAUUACUGGGCGUAAAGGGCGCGUAGGCGGCGCUUCAAGUCGUCUGUCAAAAGCCGAGGCUCAACCUCGGCGCGCAGACGAAACUGGAGAGCUUGAGAAGCAGAGAGGCAAACAGAAUUCCUGGUGUAGCGGUGAAAUGCGUAGAUAUCAGGAAGAAUACCAGUGGCGAAGGCGGUUUGCUGGCUGCAUACUGACGCUGAAGCGCGAAAGCCAGGGGAGCAAACGGG